This 253-nucleotide ribosomal RNA is filed under the name uncultured bacterium. RNAcentral's name for it is "partial 16S ribosomal RNA". It matches the Rfam family "Bacterial small subunit ribosomal RNA", at positions 524 to 776 of the family's 1533-position model. The record is from RNAcentral.
UACAGAGGGUGCAAGCGUUAAUCGGAAUUACUGGGCGUAAAGCGAGCGUAGUCGGUUAUUUAAGUCGGAUGUGAAAUCCCCGGGCUCAACCUGGGAAUUGCAUUCGAUACUGGAUAGCUAGAGUUCGGCAGAGGGAAGCGGAAUUUCUGGUGUAGCGGUGAAAUGCGUAGAUAUCAGAAGGAACACCAGUGGCGAAGGCGGCUCACUGGACUGGUACUGACGCUGAGGCGCGAAAGCGUGGGGAGCAAACAGG